AACGCACCUUGCGCUCCCUGGUCAUUCCGGGGAGCAUGCCUGUUUGAGUGUCAUAAUACUCUCAACCCCUGGGGUCUUUAAGCGGACCACCUCGGGCUUGGAUCAUGGACGCUGCCGGCCCUCUCGGGGGUGUGGCUCGUCUGAAAUACAUGAGCUGACCUGUCUGCGAACAGCACGGUUUGACUCGGCGUAAUAAAUCCAUUUUUCGUCGGGGACACCCUUUGCGGGGUGGCCGGGCUCGCGGUCUUCGGGUUGCUUACAAUCGAAUAGUCCCAUCUAUUUUAGACCUCAAAUCAGGUAGGAUUACCCGCUGAACUUAA
Molecule: unclassified non-coding RNA, 320 nt
Filed under: Phanerochaete sp.
Lineage: Eukaryota; Fungi; Basidiomycota; Agaricomycetes; Polyporales; Phanerochaetaceae
Also listed under: 3 other names
Description: partial contains 5.8S ribosomal RNA, internal transcribed spacer 2, and large subunit ribosomal RNA
Source: RNAcentral